This 2366-nucleotide long non-coding RNA is filed under the name Sus scrofa (pig). RNAcentral describes it as "lncRNA (ENSSSCG00050054636.1)". Lineage: Eukaryota; Metazoa; Chordata; Mammalia; Artiodactyla; Suidae. The record is from RNAcentral.
GUCUGUUGUUGUUGUUGUUGUUGCUAUUUCUUGGGCCGCUCCCGAGGCAUAUGGAGGUUCCCAGGCUAGGGGUUGAAUCGGAGCUGUAGCCACCGGCCUACGCCAGAGCCACAGCAACGCGGGAUCCGAGCCGCGUCUGCGACCUACACCACAGCUCACGGCAACGCCGGAUCGUUAACCCACUGAGCAAGGGCAGGGACCGAACACGCGACCCCAUGGUUCCUAGUCGGAUUCGUUAACCACUGCGCCACGACGGGAACUCCUACUUAGUGUUUUUUUUAAGUUAUGAAUAGAUGUUAAAUUUUGUCUAAUAUGUGUCUACACUUCUUGAAAUUAUCAUUAGCUUUAUACUCCAUCAAAGUGUAAUUAUAUCGAUUAAUUUUUGAAUGAAAUCAAACUCAAAUUACUAGAAUAAACAUAGCCCAGUCAUGGUGUGUUACCCUUUGUAUCUUGCCAGAUUUUGUUUGCUAUUAUUUUAGGAUUUUUGAAAAGAUGUUCCUGCAAGAGAUUGACUUGUGAUUUUCUUUUCAUUGAAUAUUCUUCUUAAAUUUUGGUGUUUAAGUUUUUUUGUUCUCAUAAGUCGGGAAGAUCUAAAAUAUUUCUAUCUAAUGGAAGAUUUUGCAAAAUAUUGAAGCUAUUUCCUCUUUUAGUAAUUGCACAAUUCAUAGGUAAAACCAAUUACAUCUAUGAUUUUCCUCUUGGAGAGGUUUUCCAAUAUGAAUUUAAUUUUAAUAGGUAUAGACUAUCCAAAGUCUAGUUUUUCUUGUGCCUUCUAAGUUUUCAAAUGUAUUGGCAUAAAUGUGUGAGUAAUUUCUCACAACUCUAGGUCCUGUGGUGCUAGUCCAUUUCACCAUUUUGGUAUUGGUUUUAUGUGCUUUUUAAAAAUAGUAUUAGUCAGUUUUACCAGGCGUUUAUCACUUUUAUUAGUCUCUUCAAAAGAACUAAUCUUUGAAUUUGUUGGUGCUCUUUAUCAUAUGUUUAUUUUUUAUUUCAGUAAUAUUUGCCCCUAUUUUUGUCACAUCCUUUUAUGUCCAAGGGAUUUAACCCAUGCCUCUUUUGCUGCUUUUUGAAAUGGAUAUUUAAUCAUUAUUUUCAGGCUUUCUUUUGAACACAAGCAUUCAAGGCGACACAUUUUCUUCUAAUCUCCAUGUUACCUGCAUUGCACAAGAUUUAAUAUGUGUGUAUAUUUUUUUAGUUUUUGUUUCUCCAGCACUCCUGGUGUGUACCACGGCUGUCCCUCUCAUGGGCCUGCAGAUGCUGUGAGCUCGGCUUCAUGCGCAUGCUCAGAGAACCGCAAACAUUUCAGCCACUCGACCACUCUGACCCCUUGAAGGACAUGAAGCCAGAGCCCUGUUCUUUCCUCUUCUUCUGAACCUUGGCCCUGUGAUGUGUUUGUAGCUCUCUGAUAUCUUCAAUCAGGAGUUUUACAUAUUUUUAAUUACUUUUAUUGAAGUAGAGUUGAUUUACAAUGUUGUGUUAACAUCUGCUGCACAGCAAAGUGAUUCAGUUAUAUAUAUACACACACAUCCAUUCUUUUUCAGGUCCUUUUCUCAUAUAGGUUUUCAUAGAUUACUGGGGAGAGUUCCCUGUGCUAUACCUCAGGUCCCCACUGACAAUCCACUCCAAACCCCCAGUCCAUCCCUCCCCCCAAUCCUUCCCCCUUCGUAUCCAUAGGUUUAUUUUCUAUGUCUGUGAGAUUGUCUAUGUUUUGUAAAUAAGUUCAUUUGUAUCAUUUUUUAGAUUCCACACAUAAGCAAUAUCAUAUGGUAUUUGUCUUCUGUCUGACUUACUUCACUUAGCAUGAAAAUCUCUAGAUCCAUCCAUGUUUCUACAAAUGGCAUUAUUUCACUCUUUUUUAUGGCUGAGUAGUAUUCCAUUGUAUAUACUGUACCCCAUAUUUUUAUCUAUUCCUCUGUCAAUGGACAUUUAGGUUGCUUCCAUGUCUUGGCUAUUGUGAAUAGUGCUGCUAUGAACAUUGGGGUGCAUGUAUCUUUUCAAAUUAUGGUUUUCUUUAGAUAUAUGUCCAGGAGUGGGAUUGCUGGUCAUAGGGUAGUUCUACAUUUAGAACCUCCAUACUGUUUUCCAUAGCAGCUGUACCAAUUUACAGGAAUUGGCUUUGUCACUGUUGUGGCUCAGGUUCGAUCCCUGGCCCAGAAACUUUCAAAAGAUGCAGGUGUGGACAUAUAUAUAUAUAUAAUUUUAAAUUGGAAAAGAGAUGAAAGAAAAUGUAUUAAAGAUAAUACAUCAUGAACAUUAAAAUGUAUGAAUGUUAAAUAUAUUUCUAUAGCAGAAACUUAGGUUGAAUUACUGCUUAAUCAAACUAUUGUGGCUGGUGGCAAGGCAAUAAAAAUAUUAAAUUGCUUAAU